UCGAACGGAGUUGUGCAUUGGAAGUUUUCGGAUGGAAGAAGCAGAACUUAGUGGCGGACGGGUGAGUAACGCGUGGGUAACCUGCCGUAUACAGGGGGAUAACAGUUGGAAACAACUGCUAAUACCGCAUAAGCGCACACUGUCGCAUGACAGAGCGUGAAAAUUUCCGGAGGUAUACGAUGGACCCGCGUCUGAUUAGCCAGUUGGCAGGGUAACGGCCUACCAAAGCAACGAUCAGUAGCCGGCCUGAGAGGGUGGACGGCCACAUUGGGACUGAGACACGGCCCAAACUCCCGCGGGAGGCAGCAGUGGGGGAUAUUGCACAAUGGGGGAAACCCUGACGCAGCGACGCCGCGUGAGUGAAGAAGCAUUUCGGUGUGUAAAGCUCUAUCAGCAGGGAAGAAGAAUGACGGUACCUGACUAAGAAGCCCCGGCUAACUACGUGCCAGCAGCCGCGGUAAUACGUAGGGGGCAAGCGUUAUCCGGAUUUACUGGGUGUAAAGGGAGCGUAGACGGCAAUGCAAGCCAGAUGUGAAAACCCGCAGCUCAACUGGGGGAGUGCACCCCCCCCCGUGUAGCUGGAGUGCAG
Molecule: ribosomal RNA, 589 nt
Filed under: uncultured bacterium
Lineage: Bacteria
Description: bacterial SSU rRNA
Rfam family: Bacterial small subunit ribosomal RNA
Source: RNAcentral